This 253-nucleotide ribosomal RNA is filed under the name uncultured bacterium. RNAcentral describes it as "partial 16S ribosomal RNA". It matches the Rfam family "Bacterial small subunit ribosomal RNA", at positions 524 to 776 of the family's 1533-position model. The record is from RNAcentral.
UACGUAGGGGGCUAGCGUUGUCCGGAAUCAUUGGGCGUAAAGAGCGUGUAGGCGGUCCGGUAAGUCCGCUGUGAAAGUCGGGGGCUCAACCCUCGAAUGCCGGUGGAUACUGUCGGGCUAGAGUGCGGAAGAGGCGAGUGGAAUUCCUGGUGUAGCGGUGAAAUGCGUAGAGAUCGGGAGGAACACCAGAGGCGAAGGCGGCGACCUGGACAGGUACUGACACUCAACUACGAAAGCGUGGGGAGCAAACAGG